UAAAGUUCCAACGGUACAAGAUGAGCAUGCGUCCCAUUAGCUAGUUGGUGUGGUAACGGCACACCAAGGCRACGAUGGGUAGGGGUCCUGAGAGGGAGAUCCCCCACACUGGUACUGAGACACGGACCAGACUCCUACGGGAGGCAGCAGUGAGGAAUAUUGGUCAAUGGACGCAAGUCUGAACCAGCCAUGCCGCGUGCAGGAUGACGGUCCUAUGGAUUGUAAACUGCUUUUGUACAGGAAGAAACACUCCCUUGCGAGGGAGCUUGACGGUACUGUAAGAAUAAGGAUCGGCUAACUCCGUGCCAGCAGCCGCGGUAAUACGGAGGAUCCAAGCGUUAUCCGGAAUCAUUGGGUUUAAAGGGUCCGUAGGCGGUUUUAUAAGUCAGUGGUGAAAUCUGGUCGCUCAACGAUCAAACGGCCAUUGAUACUGUAAGACUUGAAUUACUUGGAAGUAACUAGAAUAUGUAGUGUAGCGGUGAAAUGCUUAGAGAUUACAUGGAAUACCAAUU
This 512-nucleotide ribosomal RNA is filed under the name Flavobacterium columnare. RNAcentral's name for it is "bacterial SSU rRNA". The record is from RNAcentral. Lineage: Bacteria; Pseudomonadati; Bacteroidota; Flavobacteriia; Flavobacteriales; Flavobacteriaceae.